AACGAACGCUGGCGGCAUGCCUAACACAUGCAAGUCGAACGAGACCUUCGGGUCUAGUGGCGCACGGGUGCGUAACGCGUGGGAACCUGCCCUUAGGUUCGGAAUAACUCCCCGAAAGGGGUGCUAAUACCGGAUAAUGUCUUCGGACCAAAGAUUUAUCGCCUUUGGAUGGGCCCGCGUUGGAUUAGCUAGUUGGUAGGGUAAAAGCCUACCAAGGCGACGAUCCAUAGCUGGUCUGAGAGGAUGAUCAGCCACACUGGGACUGAGACACGGCCCAGACACUGGGGGGAGGAGGAAGGGGGAAAUAUGGAAAAGGGGGAGAAGGCUGGACCAAGAAAGGCGGGGGGAGGAAGAAGGGCUUGGGGGUUGAAAAGCUUUUUACCCGGGGAGAAAAAGAAAAGAACGGGGAGAAAAAGCCCCGGCAAACCCCGGC
RNAcentral lists this ribosomal RNA (433 nucleotides) under uncultured bacterium. Its description in RNAcentral is "partial 16S ribosomal RNA". It matches the Rfam family "Bacterial small subunit ribosomal RNA", at positions 30 to 508 of the family's 1533-position model. The record is from RNAcentral.